CCGGAAGGUGCGGCUGGAUCACCUCCUUUCUAAGGAGCAACUGGCGAGCUGCUUCGGCAGCCCGCCCAGAGCCACAUCUAAGGCGAAUGUUCUUAGGUGGCUAGCUCAUUAGUGGAGCACUGGCUAUUCGGUCUGAGGCACUUGCCUCGGUCAGCAAGUACUGUCCGCAUGGUUGAGCAUGCGGGCGUGGAAAGCAGAUCCGUGGGAGUGACUAGGCCGAGCACGCUGUUGGGUCCUGAGGGAACGGCCGCUAGGCUGAUUACCUCUGUCGGACCGUCGCUUUCAACCCCCAAAACAUUGGGGGUUGAAGCACGGGUACCGCCCGUAUCUUAAGAACUGCACAGUGGACGCGAGCAUCAUCUGUAGUUGCCAAGUUAAUAAGGGCACAC
RNAcentral lists this unclassified non-coding RNA (389 nucleotides) under uncultured bacterium. RNAcentral describes it as "partial may contain 16S ribosomal RNA, 16S-23S ribosomal RNA intergenic spacer, and 23S ribosomal RNA". The record is from RNAcentral.